RNAcentral lists this long non-coding RNA (1391 nucleotides) under Sorghum bicolor (sorghum). RNAcentral describes it as "long non-coding RNA (SBIC_LNC015424)". Lineage: Eukaryota; Viridiplantae; Streptophyta; Magnoliopsida; Poales; Poaceae. The record is from RNAcentral.
GUGCCAGCCGUAAAGGUAGUUUAAUCAGGCAAGGAGGGCUAAAAUGCCUGUCUUGCCUGUAUCGCCACUAGCGAUGCAGAUUUCUGUGGGUUGACCAGUUAGACCCAAAUAGUGUCGUCGGGUAUCGGUCACCUAGGUAAUUAACCCACUUCAGCCCCAUGCCAGCCUUCCCCUGCGGCACUGCAAACAUCUUCAAAAGAAGAGAGUUCAGUAAUGAGUUGACUAACAUGCCUAACAUGGCUCCUAGAUCUUCCAAACUCAGGCAAGAUUGGAGGAAGGCGGUAUACAUGUUAGCAAUCUUUCACCUGAAAUAAUGUUUGUAGAUAAUUUAGAGCUUGAAGUUAUGCCCUUCAAAUCUGCUAUUUGUGUGUAUGCCACAAUAAUUUGCAUGUGCACCACUAUCCACGAUAUUCCUGUGUUGCACACACUAAUUUCACUGCCACACACAAAUUUUGAGAGCCAAAUGGUGCACUCUGGCCCAAAAAGAGAAAAGUUGCUUCAGAAAAGAAAAAAAAGGAAAAUUAAAAACAUACCUUAUCAAUAUGUGUUUCUUUGCCUCUCUCCUUCCUCCAAAUAUGAUGACCUCAAGUGAGUCUUUGGGCUGAUUUGAGGGUAGAGACCAACCGGAAUCUAGCGAGCUUUACGGCGACAUACCACUUAGGUGCGCCAGGCUAUCAUGAAGACGUUUCUUGACAAGACUAACAAAUUUGACAAUGCGAGCCACCAAGGGCGUAGGGAGAGGGGGGUAGCCAGGAGCUAAGCAAUCAACCUUUUUGUAAAAGAGCCCUUAUAGAUUUGGGCAACUUACAAAACUAAUUAAUUUGUGUGCAUACCACUACCCUCUCCAUUCCUGUGUCACACACACUAGUUUCACUGUUGCACGCAAAUUUUGAGAGCAAAAUUGUGGACUCUAUUGCCUAAAAAGAUGUAAGUUGCUUCAAAAAAGGAAAAAAAGGAAAGUAAAAUUAAAACAUACCUUAUCAAUAUGUGUUUCCUCUUCCCUCUCUUUCAUGUGAGUGUUUAGGCUGAUUUGGGGGUAGGGACUGACCGGAAUCUAGCGAGCUUCGAGAGAAGCCUACAUCGACAUACCACUUAGGCAUGCUAGGCUGUCAUGAAGACAAUUAUUGUGAAGUCAUUUCACAUGGUAACAAAUCUGACAAUGGGAGCCACUAAAGAGAGAAAAAAAGGUGGAGGCAUGGGCAAGAGGAUUGUGAAAAAUGGAUGCAAUAGGUGUGGAAAGAGGUUACUGAGGCAAAAAGGCAAAAAACUCACCGAAGAGAGCAAAUCGAUGUCGACAAUCAAUGUGGAGAGAGGGUUAUGGUUAGUGUUGUGUUGUCAGCCUUGUGGCAUGCUCGGGGGGUGGGGCAGCCAAGCUGAAGCAGGCGUUGGAG